Molecule: ribosomal RNA, 253 nt
Filed under: uncultured bacterium
Lineage: Bacteria
Description: partial 16S ribosomal RNA
Rfam family: Bacterial small subunit ribosomal RNA
Source: RNAcentral
UACGUAGGGUGCAAGCGUUGUCCGGAAUUAUUGGGCGUAAAGAGCGUGUAGGCGGCCCGAUUAGUCCGCUGUGAAAGUCCAGGGCUCAACCCUGGAAUGCCGGUGGAUACUGUCGGGCUAGAGUCCGGAAGGGGCGAGUGGAAUUCCUGGUGUAGCGGUGAAAUGCGCAGAUAUCAGGAGGAACACCAAUUGCGAAGGCAGCUCGCUGGGACGUUACUGACGCUGAGGAGCGAAAGCGUGGGGAGCGAACAGG